RNAcentral lists this ribosomal RNA (551 nucleotides) under uncultured Glomus. RNAcentral's name for it is "SSU rRNA". It matches the Rfam family "Eukaryotic small subunit ribosomal RNA", at positions 548 to 1098 of the family's 1831-position model. The record is from RNAcentral. Lineage: Eukaryota; Fungi; Glomeromycota; Glomeromycetes; Glomerales; Glomeraceae.
UUGGAGGGCAAGUCUGGUGCCAGCAGCCGCGGUAAUUCCAGCUCCAAUAGCGUAUAUUAAAGUUGUUGCAGUUAAAAAGCUCGUAGUUGAACUUCGGGGUCUACCCAUUGGUCAGGCUUAAUUGUCUGCACUGGUGAGAUGGAUCUCUACCUUCUGAGGAACUCUCAUGCCAUUUAUUUGGUGUGGUUGGAAAUCAGGACUGUUACUUUGAAAAAAUUAGAGUGUUUAAAGCAGACUAUCGUCUGAAUACAUUAGCAUGGAAUAAUGAAAUAGGACGGACUGAUUCUAUUUCGUUGGUUUCUGGGAUCACCGUAAUGAUUAAUAGGGAUAGUUGGGGGCAUUAGUAUUCAAUUGUCAGAGGUGAAAUUCUUGGAUUUAUUGAAGACUAACUACUGCGAAAGCAUUUGCCAAGGAUGUUUUCAUUAAUCAAGAACGAAAGUUAUGGGAUCGAAGACGAUCAGAUACCGUCGUAGUCUUAACCAUAAACUAUGCCGACUAGGGAUCGGACGAAGUUAAUUUUAUAAUGACGCGUUCGGCACCUUACGGGAAAC